Molecule: microRNA precursor, 58 nt
Filed under: Lottia gigantea (owl limpet)
Lineage: Eukaryota; Metazoa; Mollusca; Gastropoda; Lottiidae
Description: Lgi-Mir-92-o31_pre stem-loop
Source: RNAcentral
AGGCUGUGACUUUUGCAAUAUGUAUUAACAAAAUCAAAUUGCACUUGUCCCGGCCUUC